This 82-nucleotide transfer RNA is filed under the name Bacteroidia bacterium. RNAcentral describes it as "tRNA-Asp". It matches the Rfam family "tRNA". From Rfam's summary of the family: Transfer RNA (tRNA) molecules are approximately 80 nucleotides in length. Their secondary structure includes four short double-helical elements and three loops (D, anti-codon, and T loops). Lineage: Bacteria; Pseudomonadati; Bacteroidota; Bacteroidia. The record is from RNAcentral.
CACGGUGUGGUGGAACGGUAGACACGUUGGUUUGUCAAACCAAUGCCUAAAAGCGUACGGGUUCGAGUCCCGUUACCGAUUA